This 1062-nucleotide long non-coding RNA is filed under the name Anas platyrhynchos platyrhynchos (common mallard). RNAcentral describes it as "lncRNA (ENSAPLG00000030989.1)". Lineage: Eukaryota; Metazoa; Chordata; Aves; Anseriformes; Anatidae. The record is from RNAcentral.
GGAAAUUUUCAGAAGUAUUCUGAAAUCAAAGGUGUCUCUAGCAUGUGUUUUGUAGUUGAGUGAAGGUUAUUCAUCCUAUGUGGAGAGACUGGACAAGAACAGCCCCAAAGCAAAUGAACUGGGACUUGACAGCCUUUGUUCAGACUUGAAAACGGAUGUUCAACAGGAUGUCAGGAGAGAAGAGAUUGAUAAUUUUAUAGUUAAAAAGUGUUUUGGAAAAAUUCAGAAUGGAGACCAUGUCAGCCUGCAGUCAGGAAACUCAUGUCCUUGUUUCCAUGAUUUACAUAAACGAGGUUCAAAUCAGUUCUCUGGGUCACAUUGGGAAAGGUUGUCUUACGAUCAGAACUUCAGCAACCUUCAGGGAGGGAAACCAGUCACUACACUGAGAAACUCUUUAAAGGCAUAUGAGACUAUUACUGAAAGCUGAUCUGUUCUUUUUUAUUAUUAUUAUUUAUUAUUUUUAUUUUAUUUUAUUUUAUUUUAUUAUUUUUUUCCCUAAUUGUUACUGUGUAUAUCGUACAUACUGUUGUAUUUGACUGUCUCAUCUACAAAGCAACAUGCUUUCUGCUUGAAUCAGAAAAAACUACUGUUUACAGGCUGGUUUGCAUGUAUGCUUGAGUGACUGCUUGAGAGCUAAUACUGUUAGUUUUGGUUGACUUAAGUUACACUGAAAUCAUUUUAACAUACCUUUCAGUUAACCUAGUUAGCACAGUGUGGAAACUGUACAAGAAUUCCUUUCAUGUAAGUCUGUCCUUGUAUAAAACUUGCAUUUGGUUAGGAGUAUUUUUUAUUUAUUUAUUUAUUUUACCCUAAAAGCUCAUGCUCUUACUCUCCUAUUUUGCUAGCAGGGAACACCUGCUUAAUGCUUUUCAGCAGAAGAUACCAGUUCCGUAUAAAGCCCUGCAUGCCACAGUAAGGGCACAUCUGAUGUUACUGUUUGAAACAAUACAUAAAGAAGUUCUGUGUCAGGACACUUGUUUUGAUGCUAAAGCAAACCUGCAAAGCAAAUCUACCUUGGUUUGUUACCAAGGUAGAUUUGAGCAUGGUCAGUUAGUGCUGUGA